UGAGGAAUAUUGGUCAAUGGGCGGAAGCCUGAACCAGCCAUGUCGCGUGCAGGAAGACUGCCCUAUGGGUUGUAAACUGCUUUUGUAUGGGAAGAACAUCAGAUACGAGUAUCUGUCUGCCGGUACCAUACGAAUAAGGAUCGGCUAACUCCGUGCCAGCAGCCGCGGUAAUACGGAGGAUCCGAGCGUUAUCCGGAUUUAUUGGGUUUAAAGGGUGCGUAGGCUGGGGAUUAAGUCAGUGGUGAAAGUUUGCGGCUCAACCGUAAAAUUGCCGUUGAUACUGGUUCUCUUGAGUACAUUUGAGGCAGGCGGAAUGUGGUGUGUAGCGGUGAAAUGCAUAGAUAUGCCACAGAACACCGAUUGCGAAGGCAGCUUGCUAAGAUGUCACUGACGCUGAAGCACGAAAGCAUGGGGAUCAAACAGG
This 424-nucleotide ribosomal RNA is filed under the name uncultured bacterium. RNAcentral describes it as "bacterial SSU rRNA". It matches the Rfam family "Bacterial small subunit ribosomal RNA", at positions 355 to 776 of the family's 1533-position model. The record is from RNAcentral.